RNAcentral lists this ribosomal RNA (116 nucleotides) under Pteropus alecto (black flying fox). Lineage: Eukaryota; Metazoa; Chordata; Mammalia; Chiroptera; Pteropodidae. The record is from RNAcentral.
GUCUACGGCCAUUCCACCCUGAACAAGCCUGAUGUCUGAUCUCAGAAGCUAAGUAGGGUUGGGCCUGAUCAGUACUUGGGUGAGAGACCACCUAGGAAGACCAGGUGCUAUAGGCA